This 467-nucleotide ribosomal RNA is filed under the name uncultured bacterium. Its description in RNAcentral is "partial 16S ribosomal RNA". It matches the Rfam family "Bacterial small subunit ribosomal RNA", at positions 28 to 507 of the family's 1533-position model. The record is from RNAcentral.
GACGAACGCUGGCGGCGUGCUUAACACAUGCAAGUCGAACGAUGAAGCCCAGCUUGCUGGGUGGAAGAGUGGCGAACGGGUGAGUAACACGUGAGUAACCUGCCCUGAACUCUGGGAUAAGCACUGGAAACGGUGUCUAAUACUGGAUACGACCUAUCACCUCAUGGUGUGUGGGUGGAAAGAUUUAUCGUUUCUGGAUGGACUCGCGGCCUAUCAGCUAGAUGGUUAGGUAAUGGCUCACCAUGGCGACGACGGGUAGCCGGCCUGGGAGGGUGACCAGCCACACGAGGACUGAGACACGGCCCAGACUCCUACGGGAGGCAGCAGUGGGGAAUAUUGCACAAUGGGCGCAAGCCUGAUGCAGCAACGCCGCGUGAGGGAUGACGGCCUUCGGGUUGUAAACCUCUUUUAGUAGGGAAGAAGCGAAAGUGACGGUACCUGCAGAAAAAGCACCGGCUAACUACGUG